GGACUCCUUGGUAUUAUAGUGGAUGAUAGUGCAUGAUAGAUAUAGGCUGACCCACCCCAAAAGACAUACAUUCAAACCAGUUUAACCAAAACAAAUACAAUUCCAAUCAUGUCCACAGACAUCGGGGGUAGAGGUUCUCCCAAUCAAAUACAAAUCAAAUGAACAGAAGUGCAAUUAAAGACAAAACUAGAGGUACAACUGCAGAGUCUGGACGAGACUGAAGGACACAUAUAAUAGUUAAGGUUUUAAAGGACACAGAUAAUAGAAGAUAAUAGAUGAGGUUGUAAAGCACACAGAUAAUAGAUAAGGUUAUAAAAGACACAGAUAAUAGUUAAGGUUUUAAAGGACACAGAUAAUAGUUAAGGUUUUAAAGGACACAGAUAAUAGUUAAGUUCUAGAACACACAGAUAUUAGUAAAGGUUCUAAAGGCCCUACUGACGGGGCGGUAUACAGGUCCAAACAGAUAUUAGUAAAGGUUCUAAAGGCGCUACUGACGGGGCGGUAUACAGGUCCAAACAGUGGAGCGGUGAAGUUACCCUCAUCACGGGAUCCUGGGCUCUCCUCUGCGUUCAGAAGAGACUUCAGCAUCUGUCAAUCACACAGAGACCAAGUCCCAUCACUGUCACUGAACAGACAAUCAAUACAGAUCAAUAUGUUCCGAUCACGGUCACUGUACAGACAAUCUAAUGGCAAUACAGAUCAAUAUGUCCCAUCACUGUCACUGUACAGACAAUCAAUACAGAUCAAUACACACACACACACACACACACAUGACAGAACAACACGGAGAUCACAUAUCACCAUCACGGUACAGGCAUCUAAAGCCAAUACAUGCCACCAUGAUGCAGGAGCAGCACACACACACACACACACACACACACACACACAAACACACACACACA
Long non-coding RNA from Clupea harengus (Atlantic herring), 902 nucleotides. Lineage: Eukaryota; Metazoa; Chordata; Actinopteri; Clupeiformes; Clupeidae. The record is from Ensembl.